This 376-nucleotide ribosomal RNA is filed under the name uncultured bacterium. Its description in RNAcentral is "bacterial SSU rRNA". It matches the Rfam family "Bacterial small subunit ribosomal RNA", at positions 524 to 898 of the family's 1533-position model. The record is from RNAcentral.
UACGGAGGGUGCAAGCGUUAAUCGGAAUUACUGGGCGUAAAGCGCGCGUAGGUGGUUGAGUAAGUCGGUUGUGAAAGCCCCGGGCUUAACCUGGGAAUUGCAUUCGAUACUGUUCAGCUAGAGUGUGGUAGAGGGAAGCGGAAUUCCGGGUGUAGCGGUGAAAUGCGUAGAUAUCCGGAGGAACACCAGUGGCGAAGGCGGCUUCCUGGACCAACACUGACACUGAGGCGCGAAAGCGUGGGGAGCAAACAGGAUUAGAUACCCUGGUAGUCCACGCCCUAAACGAUGAGAACUAGCCGUUGGGGGAGUUUAAUCCCUUAGUGGCGCAGCUAACGCGAUAAGUUCUCCGCCUGGGGAGUACGGCCGCAAGGUUAAA